GAUGAACGCUGGCGGCGUGCCUAACACAUGCAAGUCGAGCGAAGCACUUGUGAAUGAUCCUUCGGGUGAUUUUGCUGGUGACUGAGCGGCGGACGGGUGAGUAACGCGUGGGUAACCUGCCUCAUACAGGGGGAUAACAGUUAGAAAUGACUGCUAAUACCGCAUAAGCGCACAGUACCACAUGGUACAGUGUGAAAAACUCCGGUGGUGUGAGAUGGACCCGNGUCUGAUUAGCUAGUUGGCAGGGCAACGGCCUACCAAGGCGACGAUCAGUAGCCGACCUGAGAGGGUGACCGGCCACAUUGGGACUGAGACACGGCCCAAACUCCCUAACGGGGAGGCCAGCAGUGGGAAUA
This 356-nucleotide ribosomal RNA is filed under the name uncultured bacterium. RNAcentral's name for it is "bacterial SSU rRNA". It matches the Rfam family "Bacterial small subunit ribosomal RNA", at positions 28 to 363 of the family's 1533-position model. The record is from RNAcentral.